CGGCGAUUCAUGAUCUUAAUGCUGUAGAGUGCCCCGAGGAUAAAGAGAGCUCCAGCUAUCCCGACUCCUACGGGAACCAGCAUCCCCGACAUGUACCCUGCCUUAUCUUUCAGCUUCUCCAUCCAGCUUCUCACCAGCCCCUGGUUCUGCUGCUCCCACUCAAUGGUAUCAGGAACCUGGUAGGACACCCCAGCCAGCUGG
RNAcentral lists this long non-coding RNA (201 nucleotides) under Gallus gallus (chicken). The record is from RNAcentral. Lineage: Eukaryota; Metazoa; Chordata; Aves; Galliformes; Phasianidae.